UUGGUGUGCAUUGGUCGGCUU
Molecule: non-coding RNA, 21 nt
Filed under: Arabidopsis thaliana (thale cress)
Lineage: Eukaryota; Viridiplantae; Streptophyta; Magnoliopsida; Brassicales; Brassicaceae
Source: RNAcentral